This 18-nucleotide unclassified non-coding RNA is filed under the name Mus musculus (house mouse). RNAcentral's name for it is "oocyte_clustered_small_RNA14112". Lineage: Eukaryota; Metazoa; Chordata; Mammalia; Rodentia; Muridae. The record is from RNAcentral.
UCUCCAUGGCCUCUAUGU